This 604-nucleotide ribosomal RNA is filed under the name Kocuria rosea. Its description in RNAcentral is "partial 16S ribosomal RNA". It matches the Rfam family "Bacterial small subunit ribosomal RNA", at positions 1 to 606 of the family's 1533-position model. The record is from RNAcentral. Lineage: Bacteria; Bacillati; Actinomycetota; Actinomycetes; Micrococcales; Micrococcaceae.
CCGAAUUCGUCGACAACAGAGUUUGAUCCUGGCUCAGGACGAACGCUGGCGGCGUGCUUAACACAUGCAAGUCGAACGAUGAUGCCCAGCUUGCUGGGCGGAUUAGUGGCGAACGGGUGAGUAAUACGUGAGUAACCUGCCCUUGACUCUGGGAUAAGCCUGGGAAACUGGGUCUAAUACUGGAUACUACCUCUUACCGCAUGGUGGGUGGUGGAAAGGGUUUUACUGGUUUUGGAUGGGCUCACGGCCUAUCAGCUUGUUGGUGGGGUAAUGGCUCACCAAGGCGACGACGGGUAGCCGGCCUGAGAGGGUGACCGGCCACACUGGGACUGAGACACGGCCCAGACUCCUACGGGAGGCAGCAGUGGGGAAUAUUGCACAAUGGGCGGAAGCCUGAUGCAGCGACGCCGCGUGAGGGAUGACGGCCUUCGGGUUGUAAACCUCUUUCAGUAGGGAAGAAGCGAGAGUGACGGUACCUGCAGAAGAAGCGCCGGCUAACUACGUGCCAGCAGCCGCGGUAAUACGUAGGGCGCAAGCGUUGUCCGGAAUUAUUGGGCGUAAAUAGCUCGUAGGCGGUUUGUCGCGUCUGCUGUGAAAGCCCGGG